Molecule: microRNA precursor, 74 nt
Filed under: Bombyx mori (domestic silkworm)
Lineage: Eukaryota; Metazoa; Arthropoda; Insecta; Lepidoptera; Bombycidae
Description: mir-2807 microRNA precursor family
Rfam family: mir-2807 microRNA precursor family
Source: Rfam by way of RNAcentral
UUAACUCAGAUUUAUAUGGAGUUGGAACGUUUGCCGUUAGGGGUGCUGUUCCAAGUGCAUACAAAUUUAAGUUA